RNAcentral lists this ribosomal RNA (496 nucleotides) under uncultured bacterium. RNAcentral's name for it is "partial 16S ribosomal RNA". It matches the Rfam family "Bacterial small subunit ribosomal RNA", at positions 28 to 507 of the family's 1533-position model. The record is from RNAcentral.
GAUGAACGCUGGCGGCGUGCCUAAUACAUGCAAGUCGAGCGAACGGACGAGAAGCUUGCUUCUCUGAUGUUAGCGGCGGACGGGUGAGUAACACGUGGAUAACCUACCUAUAAGACUGGGAUAACUUCGGGAAACCGGAGCUAAUACCGGAUAAUAUUUUGAACCGCAUGGUUCAAAAGUGAAAGACGGUCUUGCUGUCACUUAUGGAUGGAUCCGGCCUGCAUUAGCUAGUUGGUAAGGUAACGGCUUACCAGGGCAACGAUGCAUAGCCGACCUGAGGGGGGGUAGGCCACCAUGGAACGUGAGCCACGACCAUGACCCUUAGGGAAGGCAGAGGAGGGUAAGUUCCGGAAAGGGGGGAAAGCUUGCGGAACAAACGCGGGGGAGGUGAUGAAGGCCUUCGAACGGAAAAACGUUCUUAUUGGGGAAAACCAUUUUCGUAAGUAACGGUGCACAUCUGACGGUAACUUAUUAAGAAGCCCCGGCUAACUACGUG